UACGAAGGGGGCUAGCGUUGCUCGGAAUACUGGGCGUAAAGCGUGCGCAGGCGGUGAUGUAAGACAGGUGUGAAAUCCCCGGGCUUAACCUGGGAACUGCAUUUGUGACUGCAUCGCUGGAGUGCGGCAGAGGGGGAUGGAAUUCCGCGUGUAGCAGUGAAAUGCGUAGAUAUGCGGAGGAACACCGAUGGCGAAGGCAAUCCCCUGGGCCUGCACUGACGCUCAUGCACGAAAGCGUGGGGAGCAAACAGG
Molecule: ribosomal RNA, 252 nt
Filed under: uncultured bacterium
Lineage: Bacteria
Description: partial 16S ribosomal RNA
Rfam family: Bacterial small subunit ribosomal RNA
Source: RNAcentral